RNAcentral lists this ribosomal RNA (253 nucleotides) under uncultured bacterium. RNAcentral's name for it is "partial 16S ribosomal RNA". It matches the Rfam family "Bacterial small subunit ribosomal RNA", at positions 524 to 776 of the family's 1533-position model. The record is from RNAcentral.
GACGGGGGGUGCAAGCGUUGUUCGGAAUCAUUGGGCGUAAAGCGUGUGCAGGUGGCUUUGCAAGUCAGAUGUGAAAGCCCCGGGCUUAACCCGGGAAGUGCAUUUGAAACUGCAAAACUUGAGUAUGGAAGAGGGUCGUGGAAUUCCUGGUGUAGUGGUGAAAUACGUAGAUAUCAGGAGGAACACCGGUGGCGAAGGCGGCGACCUGGUCCAAUACUGACACUCAUACACGAAAGCGUGGGGAUCAAACAGG